RNA transcript from Musa acuminata AAA Group (dessert banana), 1916 nucleotides. RefSeq lists it as uncharacterized. The record is from RefSeq and is a predicted model, not a curated record. The transcript is spliced from 11 exons. Lineage: Eukaryota; Viridiplantae; Streptophyta; Magnoliopsida; Zingiberales; Musaceae.
CUGGAAUCGGAUCUCAAUUCUUCUAACGGAUCCGUUUGGGAUCCGCGACUCCCCACCCAAAGUCCAACCACCGAUCCAUCGCCAGCCGCAGCUCGGCCGUCCGUUCCCAAAUCGUUGCGGAUAGCCUCCGGCGGAGGCCAACCCGAAGACAGAAGAAGAAGAGGCAGAUGUUGACGAUGAUGGACUUCGCCCUCGCAAAUGGUCUGCUGCCUUCGCCGUUGCGGUCACCUCUGUCGCUUCUCGUGGGCGCCGGCCGCAAGUGCUAUAGCCGUGGCGUCGGCGGUGGCAACCAGAGGUUCUUUGGACGAGGAAUUUGGGAUCUUCAGCACGCGAGGACGAAAUCGAGAGUCCGUUCUGGGCUAGAGGACGCGGAUUCGCUGAGAAGAAACUCGAAGCCACUAUACCACCCUUUCGAGGAAAUCGAAGAGCUAGUUGCUUCCAGUGACGAUGAGGAGAGGCGCCUCACUGAUGCCGAGACCGCAAGAACCAUAAUUGAGGUCAAUAGCAAAGCAGCCGUCAUGUUUUCAGGAUUUAUUGAUGAUCAAGUCCAUGAGAAUAUUAUCUGGCCUGAAUUUCCCUAUCUAACUGAUGAACAAGGAGAUAUCUAUUUUGAGGUGAAUAAGGAGAAAGAAGUUCUUCAAAGUUUGGUUACAGAUGAUAAGUUAUUGAAAGUUAUAAUUGGCUUGGACAAUAUAGAAAUGCUAGCUGAGAUGGAAGUGUUAGGGCCAUCUGAUCUUGAAUUUGAAGUAGAAGAAAUCUCAAGCAGUGAAGAUGACAUUGAUGAUGAAUCCGAAGAGCAGGAUGUGAUGGCUAUUCUUGACGAAGUAGAUCAACUUCUCUCGUCUGAGAAUAUAAGUGAUUGGACAAAUUUGGAAACAAUGCAGUCUUGUCAUCCAAUAUUUUUUGCUAAGAAAAUGGAGGAGUCUAUAUCAAAUGUUAAUUUGGACUGGAUGGAUCAGCCUCCUGCUAGCAUUGUCAUCCAAGGUCAUUUGAGACCUGCCUUUGCUGAAGAGAGCAUAAAUAUCAAAAAGCUUCCUUAUGCUGGUGAAUUUGAUAUGGAUCAAAGUCUGCAGAGUGGAGCUACAUUUUACAAACUGGAGAUGCUUAAUAUUCAGAUAGUCUCUGCAUACGGAAAUCAGUCAACAGUAAAAAUCCAUAAUUUUCGGGAAGCCCAACCAGAUGUUCUUGCACAUUCUGCUGUGAACAUCAUAUCUCGCUUAAAAGCUGGUGGGGAAAAGAUAUCUCAAGCUCUUAAAUUGCUAUGUAUUAGGCAAAAGAGUAUUCAUGUGGAGGUAUUGUGGAGGCUGUUGUAAUUGGGGUGGACAGUCUUGGUUUUGACUUGAGAAUUUGCUCAGGAAGGCAAGUCCAAACUCUAAGAUUUGCAUUUGGCUCACAAGCCACAUCAGAGUUUGGCGCGGAAAGACAGCUCCAUGAUCUUCUAUUUCCGAGGCUUCAGCAGACAUGGCAACAAGCUCAUCAGGGAGUUGACAGUCGACACAUUUGAUCCAUGCUUUUGCAGUUGAAUCUUGCAGCGGGGCUGUGUGGGGAUCGACAGCAGCAGCGAGUUCUGUUAUAUGUUUUCCUAAUCUAUAAGAGCCAAUGUUGCUCCCUCUGAUGAUGCAUCGUCUGCUUCUAUGUAUGAAAUUUAGGCCUUUUACUGCAUAUGUAGUAACUUGGCUGUCUAUGCCUCAGUCUCAACUUGCAUGUGGACGUUCUAAUUUCAUCCGGUAGUCAGCAAGAACUGUAGCGAAGGAGGAUCCAUUUUCUAGGCAAACUGGGACUUCUUUUUUGUUUUUGUUUUUGAGUUGGCCAUUAUUUGUCGUGAUGUGUAAUGUUGAACAAUGGAAACAGUCCCAUGCAUUUGGGCACGUCUGCAUCCUAUUUGAUCAACAAAAUAUAUAUUUUUUCAACUACCA